AGUGAACGCUGGCGGUAGGCCUAACACAUGCAAGUCGAACGGCAGCACAGUAAGAGCUUGCUCUUACGGGUGGCGAGUGGCGGACGGGUGAGGAAUACAUCGGAAUCUACUUUUUCGUGGGGGAUAACGUAGGGAAACUUACGCUAAUACCGCAUACGACCUACGGGUGAAAGCAGGGGAUCUUCGGACCUUGCGCGAUUGAAUGAGCCGAUGUCGGAUUAGCUAGUUGGCGGGGUAAAGGCCCACCAAGGCGACGAUCCGUAGCUGGUCUGAGAGGAUGAUCAGCCACACUGGAACUGAGACACGGUCCAGACUCCUACGGGAGGCAGCAGUGGGGAAUAUUGGACAAUGGGCGCAAGCCUGAUCCAGGCAUACCGGGUGGGUGAAGAAGGCCUUCGGGUUGUAAAGCCCUUUUGUUGGGAAAGAAAAGCAGCAGGUUAAUACCCCGCUGUUCUGACGGUACCCAAAGAAUAAGCACCGGCUAACUUCGUG
Molecule: ribosomal RNA, 492 nt
Filed under: uncultured bacterium
Lineage: Bacteria
Description: partial 16S ribosomal RNA
Rfam family: Bacterial small subunit ribosomal RNA
Source: RNAcentral